GACGGGUGAGUAAUGUCUGGGAAACUGCCUGAUGGAGGGGGAUUACUACUGGAAACGGUAGCUAAUACCGCAUAACGUCGCAAGACCAAAGAGGGGGACCUUCGGGCCUCUUGCCAUCAGAUGUGCCCAGAUGGGAUUAGCUAGUAGGUGGGGUAACGGCUCACCUAGGCGACGAUCCCUAGCUGGUCUGAGAGGAUGACCAGCCACACUGGAACUGAGACACGGUCCAGACUCCUACGGGAGGCAGCAUG
Molecule: ribosomal RNA, 251 nt
Filed under: uncultured bacterium
Lineage: Bacteria
Description: partial 16S ribosomal RNA
Rfam family: Bacterial small subunit ribosomal RNA
Source: RNAcentral